Cynocephalus volans (Philippine flying lemur) is the source of this 109-nucleotide small nuclear RNA. The record is from RefSeq and is a predicted model, not a curated record. Lineage: Eukaryota; Metazoa; Chordata; Mammalia; Dermoptera; Cynocephalidae.
UAGUACUCACUUUAGCAACUAAUAUACCAAAAUUGAUGUAAUACAGAGAAGAUUAGCAUGUCUCUUACACAAGGAUGACACACAAAUUGGUGAAGUAUUCUGUAUAUUA